UAAAACCACCCUUGCUCAGCUUGUGUACAAUGAUAGAAGAGUAUGCGAGUGGUUUGAUCUUAAAGCAUGGGUCUGUGUUUCAGAAGAAUUUGAUGUUUUCAGAGUAACAAAAGAUAUCUUUGAGGAGCUGACUUGGAAGACCUGUGAUAUCAUGACUCUAAAUCGGCUUCAACUUGAGCUGAAGGAGAGAGUAAUGGGGAAGAAAUUUUUCCUUGUCUUAGACGAUGUUUGGAAUGAUAAGUAUGAAGAUUGGGACAUUUUAUGGAGACCUUUAAGGUAUGGAGCAAAGGGAAGUAAGGUUGUCAUUACUACACGCAACAGAAGAGUAGCAUCAAUCAUGCAAACUGUACCAACUCAUCACCUAAAGCAAUUAACUGAUGAUGACUGUUGGUGCUUGUUCGCAAAGCAUGCAUUUGAUGAUGGAGAUUCUGGUAUCCAUUCAAACUUGAAAGAAAUUGGUCGUGGAAUAGUGGGAAAGUGUAAAGGUCUACCUUUAACUGCAAAAACACUUGGAGCUCUGCUGCGCCCCAAAAGAGAUGUUGAGGAAUGGGAGAAGGUAUGGAAGAGUAAUAUGUGGGAUUUGCCAGAUGACAGCAUUCUUCCAGCUUUAAAAUUGAGCUAUCAUUAUUUACCAUCACAUUUGAAGCGAUGCUUUGCUUAUUGCUCAAUAUUCCCUAAGGAUUAUAACUUCAAAAAGCAAGAAUUAGUCCUUUUGUGGAUGGCGGAGGGUUUUAUAGUGCAACCCCAGGGAAAUAAAGAGAUGGAAGAAGUUGGUGAUGAGUACUUUCAAGAUCUUGUAUCCCGGUCCUUUUUUCAACGAUCAAAUGUUCAUCCAUCACUUUUCAUCAUGCACGACCUGCUCAGUGAUUUAGCUAAAGUGGUAUCUGGAGAAUUUUGCUUCAGGUUAGAAGGCGACGAUUCAUCAAAAAUUUCUCAGAGAACUCGCCAUUUAUCAUAUGGAAGAACAAAGAAAUUUGAGGCCAUCACUGAAGCCAAACUUUUGCGCACUUUUCUGCCCGUGGAGAGAUCACGACAGUGGAAACCUGAACUCAUUGAUAUUGAGGUAACACAUAAUUUGCUGCCAAUGCUAAAGUACUUAAGAGUGCUUUCUCUGUCUAAGUAUCAAUGUAUAGCUGAGUUGCCCAAUUCAAUUGGCAACUUAAAGCAUU
Molecule: unclassified non-coding RNA, 1169 nt
Filed under: Hevea brasiliensis (rubber tree)
Lineage: Eukaryota; Viridiplantae; Streptophyta; Magnoliopsida; Malpighiales; Euphorbiaceae
Source: RNAcentral